GACGAACGCUGGCGGCGUGCUUAACACAUGCAAGUCGAACGGAAAGGCCCUGCGCUUGUGGCGUGCUCGAGUGGCGAGCAGGUGAGUAACACAUGUGUAAACUGUCCUUGGCUUUGGGAUAUCUUCAGGAAAAUCGGGCUCUUAUACGAUAGACGAUCCUGCUGCACGGUGUCGGCUGGAAAGAUUCGGCGGUUGGGGAUGGACUCGCGGCUUAUCAGCUUGUUGGUGGGGUAGUGGCUUACCAAGGCGUUGACGGGUAGCCGGCCUGAGAGGGUGACCGGCCACAUUGGGACUGAGAUACGGCCCAGACUCCUACGGGAGGCAGCAGUGGGGAAUAUUGCACAAUGGGCGGAAGCCUGAUGCAGCAACGCCGCGUGCGGGAUGACGGCCUUCGGGUUGUAAACCGCUUUCGGCUGGGACGAAGCGUGAGUGACGGUAAUGGGAGAAGAAGCACCGGCUAACUACGUG
Molecule: ribosomal RNA, 468 nt
Filed under: uncultured bacterium
Lineage: Bacteria
Description: partial 16S ribosomal RNA
Rfam family: Bacterial small subunit ribosomal RNA
Source: RNAcentral